Molecule: ribosomal RNA, 242 nt
Filed under: uncultured bacterium
Lineage: Bacteria
Description: partial 16S ribosomal RNA
Rfam family: Bacterial small subunit ribosomal RNA
Source: RNAcentral
GAUCCUACGGGGGGCAGCAGUGGGGGAUAUUGCACAAUGGGGGGAACCCUGAUGCAGCGACGCCGCGUGGGUGAAGGAGUGCUUCGGCAUGUAAAGCCCUAUCGGCAGGGACGAAGCAAGACGGUACCUUACUAAGAAGCCCCGGCUAACUACGUGCCAGCAGCCGCGGUAAUACGUAGGGGGCGAGCGUUAUCCGGAUUCCCUGGGUGUAAAGGGAGCGUAGACGGCCAUGCCAGCCAGGG